GUUUCCUCGGCGGGCUUGCCUGCCGAAUGGACAAUUCUAUAACCUUUUUAAUCUUCAAUCAGCGUCUGACAAAAAGUAAUGAUUACAACUUUCAACAACGGAUCUCUUGGUUCUGGCAUCGAUGAAGAACGCAGCGAAAUGCGAUAAGUAGUGUGAAUUGCAGAAUUCAGUGAAUCAUCGAAUCUUUGAACGCACAUUGCGCCCCUUGGUAUUCCAUGGGGCAUGCCUGUUCGAGCGUCAUUUGUACCCUCAAGCAUUG
This 259-nucleotide ribosomal RNA is filed under the name Didymocyrtis xanthomendozae. RNAcentral's name for it is "5.8S ribosomal RNA". The stretch from base 87 to 240 matches the Rfam family "5.8S ribosomal RNA". From Rfam's summary of the family: 5.8S ribosomal RNA (5.8S rRNA) is a component of the large subunit of the eukaryotic ribosome. It is transcribed by RNA polymerase I as part of the 45S precursor that also contains 18S and 28S rRNA. The record is from RNAcentral. Lineage: Eukaryota; Fungi; Ascomycota; Dothideomycetes; Pleosporales; Phaeosphaeriaceae.